UGCGGAGGGAUCAUUACUGAGUUUACGCUCUAUAACCCUUUGUGAACAUACCUAUAACUGUUGCUUCGGCGGGUAGGGUCUCCGUGACCCUCCCGGCCUCCCGCCCCCGGGCGGGUCGGCGCCCGCCGGAGGAUAACCAAACUCUGAUUUAACGACGUUUCUUCUGAGUGGUACAAGCAAAUAAUCAAAACUUUUAACAACGGAUCUCUUGGUUCUGGCAUCGAUGAAGAACGCAGCGAAAUGCGAUAAGUAAUGUGAAUUGCAGAAUUCAGUGAAUCAUCGAAUCUUUGAACGCACAUUGCGCCCGCCAGCAUUCUGGCGGGCAUGCCUGUUCGAGCGUCAUUUCAACCCUCAAGCUCUGCUUGGUGUUGGGGCCCUACAGCUGAUGUAGGCCCUCAAAGGUAGUGGCGGACCCUCCCGGAGCCUCCUUUGCGUAGUAACUUUACGUCUCGCACUGGGAUCCGGAGGGACUCUUGCCGUAAAACCCCCCAAUUUUCCAAAGGUUGACCUCGGAUCAGGUAGGAAUACCCGCUGAACUUAAGCAUAUCAUAA
This 552-nucleotide ribosomal RNA is filed under the name Colletotrichum gloeosporioides. RNAcentral's name for it is "eukaryotic LSU rRNA". The stretch from base 189 to 342 matches the Rfam family "5.8S ribosomal RNA". The record is from RNAcentral. Lineage: Eukaryota; Fungi; Ascomycota; Sordariomycetes; Glomerellales; Glomerellaceae.